This 281-nucleotide long non-coding RNA is filed under the name Olea europaea (common olive). RNAcentral describes it as "long non-coding RNA (OEUR_LNC011312)". Lineage: Eukaryota; Viridiplantae; Streptophyta; Magnoliopsida; Lamiales; Oleaceae. The record is from RNAcentral.
UGGGUUCUCCUCAGCCUUGUCAUAGAAUUGGUGUCCAUUUUGAAACAGCUGUAUCACAUUGGUCUUCAACUGAAAAUUAGGUUGCCCAAACGGUGGAUACACUAUGCUGGACUGACUUUGAAUCACUUGAGGAGUCAAGAAAUCCCCCAGAAUCUCAUUCCCUUCGUCCAUUGCCUCUCCUUCGUUAGCAUGAAUCAUGGGAUUGUUUAACUCGUUGGCCAUUUGUACUUGUGCUUCGCGGUGAUUUCUUUGUCGUCGGUGAAAGGUGCGCUCAAUUUCAG